AAGGUUCAAUCUUCUUGUUCGCUCUGGUCGCGGUUCAUCCGCCUGCAAUGGCGUCGCCAUCGGUCCUCCGCCUGCGCGCCGCCGCCGAAUAUUUCACGCAGGUUCAAGAAAUAAAUGUGGUGCGACUCCCACUCCCGGCUGAGUAGCGAUGAUAGCUACGGUGCCGGCGAAGUUUGCCUUCCGUGCAUGCCGCGGAGUGGGCUCACUCAUCACGGGUCUACAUUCGUGCAUCCGUUCGAAGACCAGGCCGCGGAGUGCGCUCACUGAACACGCGUUGUAUUGAUGGAUUGAUGGUGCCAUGGUGGUACUAAUUGAAACCCAUUCUUUAUUCCUGUAAUUAUACUCCAUCUUGUGAUUAUGACGAUUAAUCGGAGCGUUACUGUCAGCACCAUGUCUUUCUUCACUACUUCCAUUCGGUGCCUCCAUGCUGAUGCGUCGGACACGGUCGGUGGAUGCGGCCUUUGGCAGCUGAUGCGUCGCUCGUCAUUGAUCCCGUGUUAAUUUUCAGUUGCUGCCAAGCUCUAAUGGCUUCCAUCGUGCUUAAAUUUCCUGUGGCGCACAUGCCUCGCCUGCCCUAUAAAUUCUUGUGUUGCCUCAAACUAUCUCCUUACCCUUUCUUACUCGACCAUAACCUCCUGGUCCAAGGGUAUUCUGCUAGGCUGAUUAUCUCUCCUGGGAAUUCCCCAUUUUCCACAUAACAAUUGUACCGUUUCUAAAAUCUGUAAUUAAUCUUUUGCAGGUUGUUUUUACCUUGGUUCUGCACAUUUCAUUCAGUUAAAUCUGGAGUCUGGUUGGAUUUAUUUGAUUGUAAGAUUCUUCACCUCGGUAUUUGCUAUGGCUGGCGGUCAGGUGUGAUCCCUUGCAAACUUUUCAUUUUUCAGUUGGGCCCUAGAUUCAGUUCUGCUACCAGUUUAUCUGCACGCCAUCUGUUUGUCCAGAGACCAGAGUUGGGUCGGGAGUUGUUGCAGGAAUGAUGCUGGUCAUGUGAUUGCAGGAAUGCCGGAAGUAUAUAAGUGUCAGUACUCAUGACCCAUUUAUAGCUGAAGUUCUUGCAUGAAGAGAUGCUAUUUUGUUGGUCACCUCAUGGGUAUGACACAGUACUCAUGGAAACUGAUUGCCAGACUUUAGUCGCUUUGAACUGAAACAGAAUUCGUCCUGUGUCCACUUCCUCAGGGAGAUUAAAGAAACUAGCCGUCUCCAGCCUAAGGGCUGGCGCUUCACCAGGCAAGAAGGGAAUAAAUCAGCACCUUAAUGCGCCCGUGAAACUCUUACUUUAAAUUCUGCAGCUAUGACCUUUAGAGUUUACCCUGUUUUUUUCGUUGAUCCUGUUCAAUUAGAACGUAUGUUCUCUAUGAAAUAAACGGCCGAGGACGAUUCUCAGAAAAGAAUUGCUCAUAUGUGUUUACUAUAGUAGCUUAUUGUUCUUAA
This is an RNA transcript of Lolium rigidum, 1428 nucleotides long. RefSeq lists it as uncharacterized. The record is from RefSeq and is a predicted model, not a curated record. The transcript is spliced from 4 exons. NCBI's taxonomy places the organism in Eukaryota, Viridiplantae, Streptophyta, Magnoliopsida, Poales, Poaceae.